Molecule: ribosomal RNA, 305 nt
Filed under: uncultured bacterium
Lineage: Bacteria
Description: bacterial SSU rRNA
Rfam family: Bacterial small subunit ribosomal RNA
Source: RNAcentral
UUCCCUACGGGGGGCAGCAGUGAGGAAUAUUGGUCAAUGGGCGAGAGCCUGAACCAGCCAAGUCGCGUGAAGGAUGACGGCCCUACGGGUUGUAAACUUCCUUUGUCAGGGAGCAAUUGGGUCCACGCGUGGGCUUAGCGAGAGUACCUGAAGAAAAAGCAUCGGCUAACUCCGUGCCAGCAGCCGCGGUAAUACGGAGGAUGCGAGCGUUAUCCGGAUUUAUUGGGUUUAAAGGGUGCGUAGGCGGGUUAUCAAGUCAGCGGUAAAAUCGUGGAGCUCAACUCCAUCCAGCCGUUGAAACUGAU